GAGAUCUCCUGGUCGGUCCAUCGGCGAUAUUCUAUAACGGUCAUCUUGCCGAUGGGCGGAUAGAGGGGAAGUAAUCGUUUUUGCGAAUAUCCUGGUCAGAGCAUCGGCAGAUCUUUGUAACGGUAUUGUUGCCGAUGUACGACUGAGAAAGAUGCCCGUUUAGGAAGUUGGGGAUUUCGAGGAAUCUGCGGAGGAUCAGGAUCAGAGUUGUCCAGAUUGAGGUUGUCAGUUACCAGAUUAGGAGCAUUAAUUGUGGGAGAAGGCAUCAUUACUGCAGAGAAUUUCGGAGCAUUAAUAGUUUUAUACUCCGAAACUGGGGGGCAUGUGUUGACACCGUUUUUGGGCACGUGUCUAGGAUGGCAGGAUAAGGUGGCAGUACGAUGUUUACAAAGCAGGUUGCCGAUGAGGAUGGUUGCCGAUGAGGGAGAAGUUGAAUGUGACAGGCAGUAAUAUGGUGCCGAUGGCUAGAUAAGAAAGUCUGCCGAUGACUAUGGCAAAGGAUCUGCCGAUGAUGCAAAGGAGGAGUCUGGAAGCUGCCGGUCGUUAUGUGGAGGAGUUUCGGUUUGUUACGAGGGAUAGUUUUGUUAUUUCCUUAAUUAUUUGCAUCGUUUUGUAUACGGAUUCCGUGUAAUUUGGAAUUCGAAUUCUAAUCGUGUCUGGUUGUAGCUCUUUGAGCAGGGUAUAAAUAUAGACCCUAGGGCCUUGUAGAAUAAUCAAGAAAUCAAUCAAAUACACGUUUUUACUCAUAUUCCAGCAUCUACUUUUCGACGACUUCGUCAUACUUUUUUUUUCUUUUUAUUACGAGUUCUUAGGAAUUCGUCGACUUAAGCUCGGCGUGUUCUCAAGUUCCGCGUGAGUACCUCUUAGCCGUGACAUCCGGGCGCAUCGCUGUUGUCAGGACUAAAGUAUUCGAGUUAUCACCUUUGCGAUAGUAAGGUCAAAUCGGCUGGCACGCCUUAACGUUUGAAUCGGGUAUUAGCCCUUUGUGUUUGCAGAUCAGUUUUGCAUCAACAGCGUGCGACCUCAGAACCAGCGCGAGGCGGCGUGCAGGGCAGAACGCAGGAGCACGCGUAAUCAUCACCAGGCUAUCAAGAUGGGACGGCUCGAGGCCAUGCCGUACGGAAGCCUCGAGUAGGUCAGCGCUCCAUGCUGCUAUCGACCCCUACUCUAACAUCUACGCAUGUACCCUAAGUCUCUCCUUGGAGCUAUAAAAGGAGGGAUUCAGGAAUAGAACGGACAGGAACACUACGCCCAUACGCAGUAGAACUCCCAUACUUCAUACCACGCUUGUAUUCACCCCUGUACAAGCACUUAGGUGCGAGAUAAUACAAACUCUCCUCCCCCGAUGGACGUAGGGCCUUCUCUUGCCCGAACCAGGAUAAACCUCCGUGUCAUCUUGCAUCACCAUCUGGGAAAGGGAGCACGCAUACAAAUUUACUCGUUGGUGUGACCCCCCAUGGGGAAAACACCGACAGUACCUUUUCUGAAGGGAAUUUGAAAUGGAUCUCUCCUGUUCCAAUGUAAAUGAUGGCCUUAAUAGUGUUGAGAAACAGUCUUCCUAAAAUGAUGGGUGGAUCACACUCAUCUUUACCCAUGUCGAUGACUAGAAAGUCAGUAGGGACAUAGUGGUCAUCGAUCUGGAUAGAGACAUCUUUGACUUUCCUUUCCACAAAGAGAAAGGACUGGUCCGCCAUCUGCAGCUACGCAUAGCUAGGGUCCAUAGGCAUAGUACCAAAUAGAAAUUCAUAGGUUACCUUAGCCAUUGUGUUGAUGCCCGAUCCAGUGCAUAGACAGUGUUGUAGCAGUAACAUCUAUUGAUAGAGCAUAGGAUAGUCAAGACACCUAGGUCGUCCUUCUUGAUUAGCUGCAAAGACUUGAGCAGAUGGUCAUACUCCCUAUGGACUACGGUGACCAUCCU
RNAcentral lists this long non-coding RNA (1918 nucleotides) under Sorghum bicolor (sorghum). Its description in RNAcentral is "long non-coding RNA (SBIC_LNC013970)". The record is from RNAcentral. Lineage: Eukaryota; Viridiplantae; Streptophyta; Magnoliopsida; Poales; Poaceae.